AAACCGUUCAGGGGUAAACCUGAGGAACCCAAAAGAUCGAAUGGGGAGAUUCAUCGUCAGCGACGCAGGCUUCGCGGUGGCAGUGAUGACUCGGCGGCCAUCUCUCGGUGGCUCGUCGGGCACGCUACGGCCGCGUACGUCCGGCGGCGUCGGCGUGCACUUCUCCCCUAGUAGGACGUCGCGACCCGUUGGGUGCCGGUCUAAGGCCCGGGUGGGCGCCUGUCUCGUCGCCUCGCGGCGGAUCGAGGCAGACCCCCGGUCGCCAGACGCCGGCUGCCCGGCGGUACUCCCAUGGUAUUGGGCCGCAAACACACUGCGUCGGACCCGCGGCAAGCGCGACCAGUUUCCUGCGGAGGUUACGGACUCAGCGCCGUCCCCGCGGCUGGUCAGCUGUUGGCUCGCGGUGCUCUCCGACUGGCCAUUGCGUUAAAGCGAGAAUACCGGUCGGCGACGCUACUGCUUUGGGUAAUCUCAGGACCCGUCUUGAAACACGGACCAAGGAGUCUAACAUGUGCGCGAGUCAUUGGGACCGCAUGCCUAAAGGCGAAAUGAAAGUGAAGGUCGGCCCUAGCGCCGACCGAGGGAGGAUGGGCCGCGUCAAGAUGCGGCUCCGCACUCCCGGGGCGUCUCGCUCUCAUCGCGAGAA
This 646-nucleotide ribosomal RNA is filed under the name Sclerodermus niveifemur. RNAcentral's name for it is "eukaryotic LSU rRNA". Lineage: Eukaryota; Metazoa; Arthropoda; Insecta; Hymenoptera; Bethylidae. The record is from RNAcentral.